AAUCAGAACAGCCUGACUCUGCGAUCAGUUAGGUUUUUGUUAGUCUGGGUUGCCACACAGAAGGUUGUAUCGCCUACAACCUAUCUAUUGGUGGAAUUACUCUGGAUCGGAAGCUUUGUACUGAAUGGAGGACUGUGCCUUGUGGGUACUCUGCUCAUAAAGGACCAAGACACAGGCAACAGAAGCUUCUUCAGGAAAAUCAGUUCGGGAAGAAAUUCACUCUCAUGAGACAGCACUAAACAGCAGCUAGUGGCUCCAGCCAUUGAGGAUUAGAAGUGGAGGAUGCUGGCAAGUCCUUCAUGAGACUGCAAAAACUGCUAUGAACUGGUUGGAACACCUCUCCUAUGAAGAAAAACUGAGAAAGCUGAGACUGUUCAGCCUGGAGAAGGCUCAAGGGGAUCGCAUCAGUGUGCACAACUGCUUGAAGGGAGGAUGCAAAGAAGACAGAGCCAGGCUCUUUCCAGUGCUUCCCAGUGGCAGGACAAGAGGCAAUGGGCACAAACUGAAACACAAGGGGUUUCCUCUAAACAUCAGGAAGCACUUCUGUACUGUGCAGGUAAUGGAGCACUGGCACAGAUUGCCCAGAGAGGCUGUGGAGGCUCCUCCUUGGAGAUCUUCAAAAGCUGCCUGGAUGUGGGCCGGGACAAUCUGCUUGAGCAGGGAUUGGGCCAAAUGGACCCAGAGGUUCCCUUCAGCCUCAACCCUUCUGUGAUCUUGUGUUUACUUUCAUUAUUACUAGCUGACAAGUAGUGCUUCUAAAUGCCUUAAAAAGUUGAGGAAAUUUCACAAGAUUUUAUUUAUUUGUUUGUUUGUUUGUUUCUUUUGCUGUCUUUGCAUGGCAAAGACUUUCCUUUACUGGUAUUCUGACAAGAGAAAGUUCAGGCUCAAGCUGCUGGAUGUAUGUUUAUAUUGUCUUCUCAAUUUGUUUCCUGUGUGUAACUGUAGUGAGAGUUUUUUGAGGAUAGAGGGGUCUGAUCAUCACUUACUUUAAAUUGUAUAGUGCCAUUACUGCCCUAUAUCUGCUCCCUAGAGUCUUAGUACUAAACUGAAAUGUACUUAUUUGCAGCCAUGCUAGAUUCCAUUGUCAUAUCUUAAUGUAGGAUAAUACUGUAAUUCAUUAAUAUUAUGUUCUUUAAUGAGGCCUGUGACUCUGUGUUUUUAUAUAGGAAUUUGCACUUGUGAUUUUCUUUGCUAAUUUAAGUACAUUGUCCACCAUCAACUUAAAAUCUAGUAUCAAUUUAAAAUUAGGAAAUGAUGAGUCCUGUGAGAAACAUCCCUUGCUUGUUAUUCUCUCAGGAUUACAGUGUGUGAGAAGUGUUCCAUGCUGCUUUUUAAUUCCUGUUUGUUAUUGAUUGUUUUUAGUUUGCAGUUUUACUUUUUGGUUCUCUGAAAAGUUCAAAGCUCGUAACUGGUAACAAAUGGGGCAAAACUAUUUAAACUUUCAUGUCAGAAAUUAC
Molecule: long non-coding RNA, 1457 nt
Filed under: Gallus gallus (chicken)
Lineage: Eukaryota; Metazoa; Chordata; Aves; Galliformes; Phasianidae
Description: lncRNA (ENSGALG00010010827.1)
Source: RNAcentral